GACCCAGUAGCACUUGGUGUGCAUCUGCUUCCAAUAAAAAGUUGGCGAAUUGACCGGCAGAAGAUGCUGGUUCGAUUCCAGGCUGAGUCG
Molecule: non-coding RNA, 90 nt
Organism: Mycena leptocephala
Lineage: Eukaryota; Fungi; Basidiomycota; Agaricomycetes; Agaricales; Mycenaceae
Source: the annotation of a GenBank genome assembly